UACGAAGGGGGCUAGCGUUGCUCGGAAUCACUGGGCGUAAAGCGCACGUAGGCGGUUUGCUAAGUCAGGGGUGAAAUCCUGGAGCUCAACUCCAGAACUGCCUUUGAUACUGGCGGACUUGAGUCCGGGAGAGGUGAGUGGAACUGCGAGUGUAGAGGUGAAAUUCGUAGAUAUUCGCAAGAACACCAGUGGCGAAGGCGGCUCACUGGCCCGGUACUGACGCUGAGGCACGAAAGCGUGGGGAGCAAACAGG
RNAcentral lists this ribosomal RNA (253 nucleotides) under uncultured bacterium. RNAcentral's name for it is "partial 16S ribosomal RNA". It matches the Rfam family "Bacterial small subunit ribosomal RNA", at positions 524 to 776 of the family's 1533-position model. The record is from RNAcentral.